CUAAAUGUUUUCUUCAGUAAUUAAUUUGGUACGACCUCAAAUAAUAUGAAAAAUAUUUUUUAUUAAGUGUGCACAAAGUGAUCGAAUGUCGAUGUUUUAGCUGUAGGUAUUAUACGAAAAUGAAAAUCACUAGAAAAAUCUGAAUCGAGAUUCUUUCAUUGGGAUUGAGUAAGGCCAGUUUUAAGCCAAAUGUUCAUAUCUUUUAAAUUUGAUAACCAAUGUAAAGAAGUCAGCGAUUUUUUUUCUACAGUGUGUAACAAUGAUGUAGGUCCAAACCAAAUGCGCCCAUCUUUUUAGGAAAUACGUCACUUGUCGCGCUCACAAAAGGCUACCCGCUGUUUGCGCUACGACGGUUCUAUUUCCAAAGAAACUGGUUCCGGGGUUUUCCAAUGCUGAUCAAUUUAUUUUAAACAGAUUUGGUUCGUUACAACUUACAACUUGUCUUUUUGUUAAAUCAAACUGAAACUUCUCUAAACUGUCAAGAGUCACCAAAACGGAGACUUUCUACCUGCCCUCUUAACAAUAGUUUCCAUAGUUUCCGACAUCACUUAUGACCAGUAAACUUGCGGCGAAAUGUGAUUUAGACAGCUUUUCUUUCAAACACAAUAUAUUUUUUCAAAUGUGCGGAUGUCAGACCGUAACAAUGAUUUAGGUUCACUUGUAAAAAUCAGCAUAGAAAGGCAAGGCAUUAAAUGAUGAGGAGAAAGGUAGAGCCCGAGUUUAUACACAAGUUGGAAAGACCCAUGUUCACAACGUUAAGGGAGCGGCUAAUCUGCCCAGCAAUCGUGAAAUUGCUCGGCAGAUUGGCCGUUCCCUUAACGUUUUGAACAAUUUAUUCCGAUUAGACUCCGAAUACGGAAAGAAGAAGGCUCGAGGGAGAAUCCCAAUUCUCUCGGCACGCGGAAGAAGGAUUACAGCUGCAGCAGCAAAUUCAACGAAGAGAACCCGGCGGCUGGAGGGCUUUAAAAGGGUCCCCCAUAUUCAUUAUGAUAAAAUAAAGUCGACUCCAUCGCUAAGAAAAAAUAAUCAGCUUCUAAAAGCACAUUUUGCCGAUCAACAUCAAACGUGGACAGCGCAAUGGCACUCGGUAUAUUCUUAGUCGCUGGAAUUCGUUGUGUUUGUGCAAAUUGUGUGGUCCGAUGAGAAGAGAUUUAACUGGGAUGGUCCAGAUGGCUUUGCAGAUAUAUUACUGGCAUGAUUUACGCUACUUUUCGAAGCGAAACUUUGGUGGUGGCUCGGUAAUGAUCUAAACGACUUCCUCAGCGUUCGGGAAGUCAAGUUUAAGAUUUCUGAACGGGAGAAUUAACACCGUAACGUACUAACAAGUACUCAGACGAUCAAGCGAUUGGCAUCAGUACACCUCCGACGAGCUGAAAGAGGCCAUUCAAGAAGCAUAGAAUCGGGCCACAGUUGAGCAACUUAAGAACUCAAUGCCGAACCGAAUAGAUUUGUUGAUCAAAAGUGCUGGAAAGGCAAUUAAGCAUUUGA
Molecule: long non-coding RNA, 1488 nt
Organism: Dendroctonus ponderosae (mountain pine beetle)
Lineage: Eukaryota; Metazoa; Arthropoda; Insecta; Coleoptera; Curculionidae
Exons: 2
Source: RefSeq, a predicted model, not a curated record